Molecule: ribosomal RNA, 618 nt
Filed under: uncultured bacterium
Lineage: Bacteria
Description: bacterial SSU rRNA
Rfam family: Bacterial small subunit ribosomal RNA (bases 1-543)
Source: RNAcentral
CCUACGGGAGGCAGCAGUGGGGAAUUUUGGACAAUGGGCGCAAGCCUGAUCCAGCCAUGCCGCGUGAGUGAAGAAGGCCUUCGGGUUGUAAAGCUCUUUCGGCAGGAACGAAAUGGUUCGUGCUAAUACCACGGACUGAUGACGGUACCUGAAGAAGAAGCACCGGCUAACUACGUGCCAGCAGCCGCGGUAAUACGUAGGGUGCAGGCGUUAAUCGGAAUUACUGGGCGUAAAGCGUGCGCAGGCGGUUUCUUAAGUCAGAUGUGAAAGCCCCGGGCUUAACCUGGGAACUGCGUUUGAAACUGGGAGACUUGAGUGUGGCAGAGGGGGGUGGAAUUCCACGUGUAGCAGUGAAAUGCGUAGAUAUGUGGAGGAACACCGAUGGCGAAGGCAGCCCCCUGGGCUAACACUGACGCUCAUGCACGAAAGCGUGGGGAGCAAACAGGAUUAGAUACCCUGGUAGUCCACGCCCUAAACUAUGUCAACUGGUUGUCGGGAGAUUAACUCUCUUGGUAACGAAGCUAACGCGUGAAGUUGACCGCCUGGGGAGGACGGCGCGAGUAACGUUACGAAGUAGAGUUAGAGCGNGNGAGNGCGAGGACGACGACGAGGAGGAGG